UACGUAGGUGGCAAGCGUUGUCCGGAUUUACUGGGCGUAAAGAGCGCGCAGGCGGUCGUUCAAGUCGCGUGUGAAAGCCCCCGGCUCAACUGGGGAGGGUCACGCGAUACUGAUCGACUGGAAGGCAGGAGAGGGUAGUGGAAUUCCCGGUGUAGUGGUGAAAUGCGUAGAUAUCGGGAGGAACACCAGUGGCGAAGGCGACUACCUGGCCUGUUCUUGACGCUGAGGCGCGAAAGCGUGGGGAGCGAACAGG
This 253-nucleotide ribosomal RNA is filed under the name uncultured bacterium. RNAcentral's name for it is "partial 16S ribosomal RNA". It matches the Rfam family "Bacterial small subunit ribosomal RNA", at positions 524 to 776 of the family's 1533-position model. The record is from RNAcentral.